This 482-nucleotide ribosomal RNA is filed under the name uncultured bacterium. Its description in RNAcentral is "partial 16S ribosomal RNA". It matches the Rfam family "Bacterial small subunit ribosomal RNA", at positions 30 to 507 of the family's 1533-position model. The record is from RNAcentral.
AUUGAACGCUGGCGGCAUGCUUUACACAUGCAAGUCGAACGGUAACAGGCCGCAAGGUGCUGACGAGUGGCGAACGGGUGAGUAAUGCAUCGGAACGUGCCCAGUCGUGGGGGAUAACUACUCGAAAGAGUAGCUAAUACCGCAUACGAUCUAUGGAUGAAAGCGGGGGACCGUAAGGCUUCGCGCGAUUGGAGCGGCCGAUGUCAGAUUAGGUAGUUGGUGGGGUAAAGGCUCACCAAGCCAACGAUCUGUAGCUGGUCUGAGAGGACGACCAGCCACACUGGGACUGAGACACGGCCCAGACUCCUACGGGAGGCAGCAGUGGGGAAUUUUGGACAAUGGGCGCAAGCCUGAUCCAGCAAUGCCGCGUGCAGGAAGAAGGCCUUCGGGUUGUAAACUGCUUUUGUACGGAACGAAACGGCUCUGGUUAAUACCCGGGGCUAAUGACGGUACCGUAAGAAUAAGCACCGGCUAACUACGUG